RNAcentral lists this ribosomal RNA (253 nucleotides) under uncultured bacterium. RNAcentral's name for it is "partial 16S ribosomal RNA". It matches the Rfam family "Bacterial small subunit ribosomal RNA", at positions 524 to 776 of the family's 1533-position model. The record is from RNAcentral.
UACGUAGGUGGCAAGCGUUGUCCGGAAUUACUGGGCGUAAAGGGCGUGUAGGCGGCCUUUUAAGUCAGACGUGAAAACCCUGGGCUUAACCCAGGAACUGCGUUUGAAACUGGAAGGCUUGAGGACCGGAGAGGGUAGUGGAAUUCCCAGUGUAGCGGUGAAAUGCGUAGAUAUUGGGAGGAACACCAGUGGCGAAGGCGACUGCCUGGACGGCACCUGACGCUGAGGCGCGAAAGCGUGGGUAGCGAACGGG